CCUCCCACACCCAAGGUUUGC
RNAcentral lists this microRNA (21 nucleotides) under Cricetulus griseus (Chinese hamster). RNAcentral describes it as "cgr-miR-532-3p". Its record names the gene cgr-miR-532-3p. The record is from miRBase by way of RNAcentral. Lineage: Eukaryota; Metazoa; Chordata; Mammalia; Rodentia; Cricetidae.